AACGAACGCUGGCGGCAUGCCUAACACAUGCAAGUCGAACGAGACCUUCGGGACUAGUGGCGCACGGGUGCGUAACGCGUGGGAACCUGCCCUUAGGUUCGGAAUACCUCCCCGAAAGGGGUGCUAAUACCGGAUAAUGUCUUCGGACAAAAGAUUGAUCGCCUUUGGAUGGGCCCGCGUUGGAUUAGCUAGUUGGUAUGGUAAAAGCCUACCAAGGAGACGAUCCAUAGCUGGUCUGAGAGGAUGAUCAGCCACACUUGGACUGGGACACGGCCCAGACUCCUACGGGAGGCAGCAGUGGGGAAUAUAGGACAACCGGCGAGAGGCUGAAGCAGCUAUGCUUGGUGAGUGAUGAAGGCCUUAGAGAUGUAAAGCUCUUUUACCCGGGAUGAUAAUGACAGUACCGGGAGAAUAAGCACCGGCUAACUUCGUG
Molecule: ribosomal RNA, 433 nt
Filed under: uncultured bacterium
Lineage: Bacteria
Description: partial 16S ribosomal RNA
Rfam family: Bacterial small subunit ribosomal RNA
Source: RNAcentral